Long non-coding RNA from Synchiropus splendidus (mandarinfish), 325 nucleotides. RefSeq lists it as uncharacterized. The record is from RefSeq and is a predicted model, not a curated record. The transcript is spliced from 3 exons. NCBI's taxonomy places the organism in Eukaryota, Metazoa, Chordata, Actinopteri, Syngnathiformes, Callionymidae.
UUUGUGGUCCAGAAGCUUCUCAGACCGCUGAUCUGUUGCUGCAGGACCGAGCCUCACGAUGAAGCUGGCUGCUGCCUUCCUGGUGCUGCUGGUGCUGGUUAUGAUGCCUGAGCCCACUGAGGGCUUCUUCCACCUCAUCGCCCACCUGAUCCACCACAUCAUAGGCAGAACCGCAGACGACCAGCUGGUGGAGGUGGACAAACGCUCGCUGGACUAUCGUCCGGGACACCCCCCUUUCAACUGAGGAGCAGGAGGGGGGCCCCACUGCCCCGACUCUUCAGCUGAUGAUUCAUCACCAUGAAAUAAAAUCUGAGCAAGACAACAA